GUGUCUCAUAACACCGGCUGGUAAAGCUCUGUCUGGAUGAGGGAAUGUUGUUGUGUCUCAUAACACCGGCUGGUAAAGCUCUGUCUGGAUGAGGGAAUGUUGUUGUGUCUCAUAACACCGGCUGGUAAAGCUCUGUCUGGAUGAGGGAAUGUUGUUGUGUCUCAUAACACCGGCUGGUAAAGCUCUGUCUGGAUGAGGGAAUGUUGUUGUGUCUCAUAACACCGGCUGGUAAAGCUCUGUCUGGAUGAGGGAAGGUUGUUGUGUCUCAUAACACCGGCUGGUAAAGCUCUGUCUGGAUGAGGGAAUGUUGUUGUGUCUCAUAACACCGGCUGGUAAAGCUCUCUCUUGGAUGAGGGAAGGUUGUUGUGUCUCAUAACACCGGCUGGUAAAGCUCUGUCUGGAUGAGGGAAUGUUGUUGUGUCUCAUAACACCGGCUGGUAAAGCUCUGUCUGGAUGAGGGAAUGUUGUUGUGUCAGAAGGACAUCAAAAUGUCACAUAAGUAUGUGACUUGUAAUUAUAUAUUUUAGAUGUUUAUAUUCAUACGCCAGAUGUCGUUUGUAAGCCUAGUUUUUGUUCUCUCAAAGUGUUCAGUUGGAUGGAUUGUGCAACAGGUGAUGGUUAUCUUUUUUGGGUUUUUUUCCGACAGCAAAAUGUGCUCACUAUAACAUGAAGUGUAUGGAGCAAUGUUUGGUUUGGAUCUGAAAUUAAUGGAUGAUGAAAAUAAACAUGGUCAGUUGUUGCA
This is a long non-coding RNA of Oncorhynchus keta (chum salmon), 742 nucleotides long. RefSeq lists it as uncharacterized. The transcript is spliced from 2 exons. The record is from RefSeq and is a predicted model, not a curated record. NCBI's taxonomy places the organism in Eukaryota, Metazoa, Chordata, Actinopteri, Salmoniformes, Salmonidae.